Molecule: ribosomal RNA, 429 nt
Filed under: Chloroflexota bacterium
Lineage: Bacteria; Bacillati; Chloroflexota
Description: Chloroflexi bacterium partial 16S ribosomal RNA
Rfam family: Bacterial small subunit ribosomal RNA
Source: RNAcentral
UGGGGAAUAUUGCACAAUGGGCGCAAGCCUGAUGCAGCCAUGCCGCGUGUAUGAAGAAGGCCUUCGGGUUGUAAAGUACUUUCAGCGGGGAGGAAGGGAGUAAAGUUAAUACCUUUGCUCAUUGACGUUACCCGCAGAAGAAGCACCGGCUAACUCCGUGCCAGCAGCCGCGGUAAUACGGAGGGUGCAAGCGUUAAUCGGAAUUACUGGGCGUAAAGCGCACGCAGGCGGUUUGUUAAGUCAGAUGUGAAAUCCCCGGGCUCAACCUGGGAACUGCAUCUGAUACUGGCAAGCUUGAGUCUCGUAGAGGGGGGUAGAAUUCCAGGUGUAGCGGUGAAUUGCGUAGAGAUCUGGCGGAAUACCGGUGGCUAAGGCGGCCCCCUGGACGAAGACUGACGCUCAGGUGCGAAAGCGUGGGGAGCAAACAGG